AGCCACAACAGCCCCUUGUAUCAACCAUCCCUAUGGUAACCUGACGCGAACGAUCCGACGAGUCAACAUAGAUCCAGAAAGACAUAAUAGAUAGAUAAACAAUAACAAAUGCUUUCAGAGUGAUGUUAGAAGUAGUGCGCGAGUAGAUCGUUGCUAGGUUUUUGAUUUGUAAUUUUAUACUUAUAUUUACACUUUAUUUAGUUUAACUUAUACACCUAUUUGUAGGAAAAGGUCAAAACAUAUCACUUUGUUGCGGGCUAGGUCAAGAGUAGGUCGGAGACUGAAUUGUGAGUACAUCUUGAACUUAAACGCAUGAACUCGAACUCUUAUUUACAAUAUAUUUUAGCUUUAAGCCGAUAAACACCAAAUCUGGGACUGUUUUAUUUCUGCUGGGAGAACUCCACCAAACCUACCGCAACAAACUUAAAGAAUUCAUCCGAGUUGUAAUGAAUUCGCAAGCGAAUGUUCGACAGACCCGGUCUCAGACGAGAAUUCAGCAGGGGAAUGCUAAUCUCAUGCCGGGAGAUGAUGGUAAAAUGUCGAGUCAUUCAUCAGAAGGCUCAUUUAUCCAAUCCAUAAUCGAUAGAGAUGGAGCAUGUAUGUCCGCAAAUGCUUGUGGUGUAUCAAAAACGACAUCGAGUAUAAUUAGUGCGCUUUCGGGCACAUCUAGUUCUCGUAAAGCCUUACUAGAUCGUGAAUUGCUACGUCUGGAAGAGGAGAAGCAAUUAAUCGACGAUCUGAAUCGUGAGAAGAUCGAACGAGAGCGGGCUUUGAAUGAGAAGGAACUUCAGCAAAAACUAGAGCGAGGAAAAGAGUUUAUCGCUCGGAAGCAUGAAUUGCUGAGGCAACAGGAAGAAGAAGAAGGAAAAAGCGUUUGCAGUAUGCGGAGUAGCCAAAGAAUCGCAAAACGAACUGAGGACUGGGUGAAUCAAUCAAAGGUGAUCGAUGAAGCCGGCGAGGUCGUCGUUGACGUUCGACAAGUACCCCAACCGACAUCUGCGAUUACCGCUCAUCCAGAGGGCGUAGGUCUAGCUGAAGUGCAUGUUUCUUCAACGCCAAUCAAGGCUGCUGUAUCCACACUGCAACAUCCUCUAGGUGAUGGGAAACGAGAAUUGGAAUCAGAGGUGAAAUCGUUUCCACCAAUUUUGGAAAGUAUCUCGAUCGGGGAUGAGUCUGAGGACUCUCUUGAAGCCAUCGCCGUUGGACCAAAGGCGGAUAGACAGGAACAGGACAAACACUCAUCACGUUUGCCGUUCGUCAAUUUGCAACCGUAUGCCAAUCUCUUAAAAGUUGAAGAAGCAACAGUAAACUCAGGGGCAGUUUCGAAAGUUAAUCGCUUUGGCGCUCACUGCUAUCAGCGUUGGAGUAUGGAAACUAGUGAGCUCCGGAAACACAAUGCGCAUCAGCUGCAGGGGGAAACGGAAGCGGACAUGAUGGUGAAAGAGCAGCCAGAAAUCGACGGAUGGCGAAAACGAGAAGUAGAACUGGUGAACCAGAUUAGAAGUUUGCAGCUUCAGCACGCAACUGAGCAGAAGCUGGUACGAGAAAGGGAAGACGGCUUGUAUAUCCAGCUUAAACAACGAGAUCGUGAAAAGUUUCAGCUGGAAGCUCAGAUUGAGGCUUUGGAGAAGAUACUUGUCGAGGACAGGGAGCGGAUGCGCACUUCCGAAGCAGAUUUGCAGGCUCAACUCCAGCGACGAGAUCGUGAACUUGAGGCGCUGCAGCAUCAGGUUAAAGAGCUGCAGAACGAAAUUAAGACCUUGCGAAGCAGGGAAAAACAGCUGCAAUUUGAAAAUGAAGCGGCUGAUCAGCGUGAGCAAAAGGCCAUUCGUCAGCGAAAGAAAGCGGAGAAGGAUUAUUGGGACUUCUACGAAGAAAUACAACAGAUAAUCAAGCGGAACGAAGAUCAAUCAGUAGACACAGAUUGUUAUUCUACGCUACCCCCUCCUCCACCGUCGUGGAUAGGUGAUGCGAGUGCGUCUGAUGCGGGAAAUCAUAUGAACUAUGAUUUAAACCGAGCUUUCCAUCGUCCUCUACUACCGGCUAUGGAUUCGCAGUUGUCGUCUCAAGCUGUAAGCCAGGCUGCCUCUUAUUUGGGGCCAUCGCCUCAACAGCUAGCCGCUAGACUGGUAGUCAUCAAGGAAUUGCCGAUUUUUUCUGGAGAUCCGGUCGACUGGCCUCUAUUCAUUAGCAGUUAUCAACAUUCAACAGAAACUUGUGGGUAUACUAACUCAGAAAACCUAUUGCGUUUGCAACGUUGUCUGAGAGGUAGUGCUAAGGAUUCCGUGAGUAGUUUUUUACUACAUCCGUCUACAGUUCCCCAUGUUUUGUCGACCCUGCAAUUGUUAUAUGGCCGUCCGGAACAAAUCGUUAACAAUAUGAUUGCUAAAGUUCGAGCAACACCACCUCCUAAAGCAGAUAAAUUGGAAACACUGGUUAGUUUUGGAUUGGUGGUACAAAACCUUUGCGGGCACCUUAAAGCAGUCGGGUUACACAGGUAUCUUACUAACCCAAUAUUGCUCCAGGAGUUGGUCGAUAAGCUACCGACAACAGUAAAGUUUAACUGGGCGCUUCAUCAGGAACAAGUUCCGGAUGUAGAUUUAAAUGUAUUUAGUGAGUACAUGGCCAAAAUUACUUCGGCUGCAAGUGGCAUUACACAGCUUGCUAAUAUUCCGCAGAAUUGUUUGAAAGAUGAGCGAACUAGACCGAAGGAUAGAUCUUUUGUUCAUAUGCAUGGAUCUUCGGAACAAAUAGAACCGAAUUAUAGAGAAGAUGUAGAGAAAGCUGGAAUUGAUGGACAGGUGCAAAAAGGAAGAAAUAAUCAGAGCAAAUGCUCAAUUUGCGAUGUAGACAGUCAUCAAAUCAGUAGCUGCACGUCAUUUAACGCACUUGAUUUGGAUGGCAGGUGGGAAGCAGUGAAGAUGCACAAACUUUGUGCUCGCUGCCUUAUGUCACACGCACGGUGGCCUUGUAAAGGACAGGUAUGCGGAAUCAAUGGUUGUCCAAAGCGGCAUCACCGCAUGCUACACUACAUGCCGACAGCAACCGUAGAUUAUCAAAGUGAUAGCUACAGUUCAUCAUAGACUUCUGCGUUUAACAUGGCGCUUAACAAAAGGGGCUGUGUUGGACCUAUUGAGCUUUGUGACGCUGAACCGGAAGUUAAGGCGACACGGGGGGGAGAAUGUUAGCCACAACAGCCCCUUGUAUCAACCAUCCCUAUGGUAACCUGACGCGAACGAUCCGACGAGUCAACAUAGAUCCAGAAAGACAUAAUAGAUAGAUAAACAAUAACAAAUGCUUUCAGAGUGAUGUUAGAAGUAGUGCGCGAGUAGAUCGUUGCUAGGUUUUUGAUUUGAAAAGGUCAAAACAUAUCACUUUGUUGCGGGCUAGGUCAAGAGUAGGUCGGAGACUGAAUUGUGAGUACAUCUUGAACUUAAACGCAUGAACUCGAACUCUUAUUUACAAUAUAUUUUAGCUUUAAGCCGAUAAACACCAAAUCUGGGACUGUUUUAUUUCUGCUGGGAGAACUCCACCAAACCUACCGCAAC
Aedes albopictus (Asian tiger mosquito) is the source of this 3548-nucleotide RNA transcript. RefSeq lists it as uncharacterized. The record is from RefSeq and is a predicted model, not a curated record. Lineage: Eukaryota; Metazoa; Arthropoda; Insecta; Diptera; Culicidae. The transcript has 2 exons.